Molecule: long non-coding RNA, 416 nt
Organism: Saccostrea cuccullata (small rock oyster)
Lineage: Eukaryota; Metazoa; Mollusca; Bivalvia; Ostreida; Ostreidae
Exons: 3
Source: RefSeq, a predicted model, not a curated record
CAGUGAUAAACAUCAUUUUUGGUCUACAGUUGACAAAAUCUGUAGUAAAAAUUGGAGCUACAUACGUUAUGUAUGUUUAUAUAGCUCUGUAUGUACUGUUCGAAGUUGUAUUCGAAAUUUUAAAGAUGCAAGAGAAUGGUCAAAUUAAAGAUAACAAGUCAUAUGAUGUAAGCAUGACGAAUAUAAUCGAUAGGAAAACAGCUGAAAAAGCGGAGACAACUAAUAAGUUUUCUCGCAUGAGGUUUUUUCUUCUGAUCGCGCAUCUGGUUACCAUUGGUGUGUUGUCAUUGACCGUUAUUGUGUAUAUCUUCCUGGGCAUAUGAGAAAACAACAUACAGCAAAUUAUUGGGCUAAAUGAAAUGAUUUAUAAAAUCAUUGAUAGUCUAUUGAACCUCAAUACAAUUGGAAGCGUACCA